This is a long non-coding RNA of Brassica rapa (field mustard), 19858 nucleotides long. RefSeq lists it as uncharacterized. The record is from RefSeq and is a predicted model, not a curated record. NCBI's taxonomy places the organism in Eukaryota, Viridiplantae, Streptophyta, Magnoliopsida, Brassicales, Brassicaceae.
UUUGAAACUAUUUUUAAAAUUUUUAUUUUCAAAUUUUUUAAUAUUUAUUUUUUAUUUUAUAAAAUUUUAAAUCUCAAUCCUAAAUCUCCACCCAUUAACUCUAAACCCUAAGGUUUGGAUUAGUUAACCCUAUGAGUAUAAGUGUAUAUUUACCUCUUUAACGAAAUAUUUUGGUUAUUUUGAUUUUUAGAAUCUAUAUUUGUGACAUAAAUUUUUUUAGUGUUAUCCUAGAGUAUUUUCCAGGAAAGAUCUGUUGCAUAUCAAAUAUGGUUAUAUAUACCAAUGAUCAUAUUAGUAUUACCAAUGAUCAUAUUGACAUAUUCUCAAUAAAACUAUACUUUUAUUAUUUGGACCUACCCAACACAAGAAUAAAGUUCACAAUAUUGAAAUUAUAAUGAUCUACAAUGCAGAAGGGUUAACAAACCACAAGAAUCAGCACAAAUUCACAAGGUAGACAAAAAUUGUGACCGCCUUAACUCGUGUGUCACUUAUCCUAAUAUAGUAAUAUUAGAUAUUCCAUUAAAAUGUCAAGUCCUUGAAUUACAAAUAUAACAAAAGCUCACAAACGCAUAAAAUACUAUCAUAUUUAAAUAUAUAAAUAUUCAAAAAAAAUUUUGUUGUUCACAUUAAAAAUUAUACUAUUAUUCAAAAAAUAUUUUAAAAAAUUAUGCUAAUAAAUAGUACUAUAAACUAUAGCAAAUCAUUGGACAAUGAGUGAUAAUGAAUCUUCAUUAAAUUGAUUGAAUUUUAUGCGAUUGUGAUUCUCUCUAUAUUUAUGGUUUGUUAGUUUGCUCUAUAUUCUUUUAGUCAUUUUUAUUUGACUUAAGAUUUAGAUUUUGUUUUUGGAAUUUUAACAUGGCUUAGUUUUUUUAUGACAUCAGAUUUUUUUCUUUGACCCAUAAUGAUUAUGUUGUGUCUCUGAUUCAAAUUACCCUGAACAAAUAUGUUGUUCGUUAAAACCAAAACACGAAUUAUUUUACUUGGUUGUUAUUGCGCUGGUUAUUGCAAAUGUUGUAAUACAAUUUUGUGAAUAUAAUUAUUGUAAUUGACUAUUAAAUGUUUAUUUACACCAGAAAAACUUGUUACAAAUAAAAUAUAUAUUUCAUGAUAACAUUUAAAAUGACAACAUACAUAUAAUUUAUGUCAGAUCAAACACCCAAAUAUACAAUACAUAUAUAUAUAUAUAUAGUGAAUAUGUAAUCCCUUAUAUACUAAAGCACAAGUCACUCAACCAAUCAAAGUUUGCCAUAUGGAAAUUACAUUUUUCAAAAAAAAAAUAUUAAAAAAAAAUUAGACAAAACAAUUGAUUUCAUCUCUAUUCUCAACGUAAACAAAGAACAGUUUUUUAAUUGUUUGCCACGAUCUCCACCAUCCUACAUUAAAAUCAGUUAUGCAGCAAAUUUGCUUAUAAAAUGGUUUCGAACUGUUAAUUUCUCCCAUGAAGUAACUAAUGCUUUCAUCUCUCUCAGAAUUUAAUUUUGAUAUCGGAAAGAUCCUAUCUUCUUUGUUUUUCUUCUCUGGAUGAAUCUUCAGUCUAACGGUGGUGUAUAGUUUCGUAAAUGAAUAAGUGAUAAAAUAUUUUAAGUCGUAGCAAUUAACUAUGUUCUGUUGUGCAGUUUGAAUUCCUUUUGUUUUAAUUCUUUCUUUUUUUUUUUGCAGAGGAAUCAUCAGUGUUCCCACAUAUUACACAAAGUUGACAGCAACUUACAUGAAGACUCUACCCGUUCAUGUUUUGAUUAAUAGGUCAGAUGCAAAACCUUUCAACUUUUUUGUUUGAACAUUACCUUUCCACUAUUGAAAGAAGAAAUAGAACAUUACCUUUAUCUCUCAAGCAUUUUUCUAUAUUUCAUUUUCUUUAAAGCAAUCAACACGUCAGUAGGAGAAAGAUAUCAAACUAUUGUUUCUGGUUUUGAGUAGAAGCUAAUCAAAGAGUGGCUGAAGAGCCUGAUAAAAAAUUUGUCAAAAAAUAACCCACUAAUAAAUUCAAUAAUAAUUGCAAAGAAAUUCUUAUUAAAAACUGAGUAUGAGUAUCUAUUUACAUUUCAUUUCAUUUGAAAAUAAAAAUAAACAAAUGCAUAUGAUUGUAACUGGUUCUGUCACGCUGUGAUCUUUUUAAUAACAAAUAUAUUCAUAUAUAAACUUAAGAAAAAUACAAAUUUAUGUCUUCUUUAAAUAUUUUUUUUGAAAAAGAAAAAAAACUGAUUAAUUAACUAAUAAUAUUAUUUAAAGAAAAAAAUACAAAUUUAUGCCUUUUUUAAAUAAUAUUGUUUGUCAUUGUUUGUGGAUUUAUAUUUUAGUUACUUAAUAAAUAUGUUGGCUUUGUUUUUCGUGGUUUAUUACAAGUUGUGCAUUAACAUAAUUUAUUUAUUCAAAAUUUGUUAUUUUCACAGUUUCAUUUGUAACCAUUCAUUCUAUCAAUGUUUUGUUCAUAACUAAUAAUACUAUAGUCAAUAUUUGAUUCAGAUACAAAACAUCUGUGUUCAGUUAAAAUUUAGAUUGGAAAAUGUUAAGGAUUAUAACUAUUCCCAUGCAUAGCAUGGGCCAAAAUACUAGUAAACAAUAAGAUGAUGGAAAACUAUAAAUUUGAAACUAAUUAUUAAAAACAUUUAUUAAACUUUCUGCACAUGUAAUUCCUAAAUGUCUCGACAACACCAUUAGGUUUGGAAACAAUAUAUUCUUCAUGACUUGUUAGUUGUUUAUUACAAAACGUUUUGCAAUCUACUUCACAAGUUGCCGGAUCUGGUUUUCCGGAUACUUUCAUGCACUGAUUCAAGAUGCAAUGUUUGACACAUUUCUCAACAUUGGUUGAAAGAGAAAUUUGUGCCGAAAUCAUCAUUAUAUAAAUAGCUACUAUCAUGAAAAUAGUGCUUGAAUUUUUCAAAAUUUGAGUUUUCAUAAUGUAUAUACAAUUACAACAAAUGUAAAUGUGUAUUAGUUUAGUCUUUUUUAGAUCGUGAACAAGAUGAUUCUGAUAUUGUGUUAGUCUAGGUGAAUUAUAUAGUAUAGUAAAUCAUGGGUAUUUUUAGAAGUUUGUUUUAGUUAGUUUGUUGUUUCUUUUAUUAAUAUAUAUACAUCGAUUGAGUUGUGUGGAACUUACCUAUAUUUGUUUUGUUAGCUAUCUAACCAAUUUUUGUUAUAACAAUAAAAUAUAUCCUUUUUAUCCGUAGCAAUAAGAUAUAUUUUUGGUAAUUAUUAUAGUCUUAUAUUAAAAAAUAUAAAUGAUAUAGUAUUACAUCAAAAAAUUUUGAUCUAAACACGCAAAAUUAUGGUUUUGUUUUGAAAUUUUAAAAUUAUAAAAAUUAUAAAAUUAUUCUUUACUUUUACAAAAUUAAGAAUUUGAAAUAUGUUUUUAAAGUUUCUUAUAAUUUAUUCAAAUAGCAAUAACGGAAUAUCAAACUAAUAACAUGUCAUAUAUUUUGUUUAACACUUAAAAAAUCAGGAAGAACCUACAAAUUUUGAAUUGUUUUUGAAGGUUUAGUAGACAAUCAGGAACGCUAUCAUGAAUAGUCUGAUAAAAUAGAAUUUCAUACAAAGACCACAUCUAGAAGCUUGGAAUGGUUAUAAAACAAAGUUGGCUUACUACAUUGGUACAUAUCAUACCACUCCAUGUUUGUAUGAUUUAGUAUUAACAUUUAACUACAAAAACAGAUUUAUUAGGAACAACAUGCAAAAUUCGAGUUUUUUGGAAAGAUUGAUAUAUGUUUAGGAAAGUUAUCAUGAACAAUUUAAGAAAGAAAAAAACAUACAAAAACCCACACAAAAGAGGUGUGAAAUGAUGUAUUUGUUGUUCUCUUUGCACAAUAUGACCAACUACUAUGUUGGUUUUUGAAAUCCCUAUAUGAACAUGAUAUAAAUUUUGAAUAAAAUUCAAGAGAACUGAAAAAUCACUUAUAUCACAAACUGGCUUGUUACAUCUAGAUGAAUAAGAAAGAACCUGCAACUUUUGGAUUGUUUUGAAAGGUUUAAUACAUAAUUAUGAAGGAUAUCAUGAAUAGUUUAAGAAGUAGUUUUGAGUCUUUCAGAAGUUUCAGUCAUACUAUAAAAUAAGUUUUCACUCUCAAGAUCAUAUAUGUCAUUGCUUACAUGUUGAAACUACUUUAAUCAAAGAGCACAACAAUAAGAUACUAUUUCAUACAUCAAAACGUCAAAGAGGCUGUGAGCAAAAGCGUGUUUCGCCUCAUGGUACAUAUGUGAUGAGUGAAAAAAAACCUAAUACCUAAAAAAUGUAAAAAGACAUUCAGAUUAAAUUUUAUUUCAGCAGAUGCUAAUAACAUCUUUACAUAUCAAACGAAAAGCUUCAAUAAAUCAUAUAAUAUGGUUUGCUAAUGUCACUGUUAUUAGAGAUUAAGGUUUUGUUAACUGAGCUACAAUACAAACAAAUUGUCACAAGCUAAAGCUUAAUAGACCGAUUCUCCAUGGAAGGAAGGAGACAACUCGAGACUUUAGUAAUUAUGGAACAAGUGGCCAAGCAAAUAUGGUUAGACCAGUUGAUUCAUCUACAACCAGGAACAUACUGUUGAGAUUAUUACUUAGGUUUGCUUAGGUUUCAAGUUAUCUUUUACCUAGAACUAAACUGAAAGUAAAGACACAAUCAAUUUAACGAGUUCCUGGCCUCUAGCACGAUACGUCUCAUAGGAGAACUCAUGCUCCCAAAUUCCACUUGAUCAAAGAAUCUCUAGCAACAUCAAAUCAGUGUGCUAGAUAGUUUGGUUACAAUGAGAUAAACUCAAGUUAGCUAGGGAAUAUAACAACCUUUAGAUGAGACAAUAGUCUUAAGCCUAAGCUAUUUCUCUUUGUUGAAGUCUCCUUUCCCUUGCUACUAUGACUUGCUGAUUGAUCUCUGUCACCGUAACCUGCUGUCGUUGCUUGUACAUGUGUUAACCUAAUCCCCGUACUAACAUUGAUAUAUAUAUGCUUUGUACGUGGUCAGGUGGUGCAAGCUGGAAUGGGCCUGUAGAGACUCGGCCCAAGAGAUAUGAUGUUGCUGCUGGCCCGUAAGUCUCUUCUGUGAAGCCCAAACUCUACAAAUCUCCACCAGUUUGGUUUGAGCCCAACACUGGCCCAUUCGGCAAACCCUUGUGUCGACAGCCUCCUCCUCUUGUCUCUUUGUCUUUUGUGGUCAAAAAAAUCAAUCUUGACUCUCUCACCUCUCUGCGUCUCUCUUCCUCACGUACCUUCAUCAUCGAAAUGAUCUCGGCUCCGUCUCGUGAGAGAUCUCGGUCAGCUCAGUCGUGACGACUUCACUUUGUUUCUCCUUUCUCUCCAGGUAUAUCUAAUCUCUUUGUUUGCUUUGAGAUUAGGAUCUUCUGCAAAGAAAGUUGAGAACUUUCUUGAGUAUUUCACUGACCCUUAACUUCUUUGUUCAUUGCAUGUCUUCUCCGGCGAUUCUACGCCUCCUCCGACAUGACUCGAGCUCUGACUCGAGCUCCACCGUCACGCUCCACCUCUUUUGUGAACCAAGGUAUGGACUUAUACAUCUUAGUCCUCCUUUGCAUGUAUUUGAUCUACUCCAAUCUAACCCUCUUGACGUUUCAGGGAUCGAUUUCAACUCUAUGCUGAGUUCCUUCCUUGCGAUCUUGAUGAAACUGAAGUUUGAUCUGAGUAACUCGCCUCAACUCGGUGAGCUUUCAAUACACUUAACUUUCUUUCAACUUAGCUUCUCAAAGACCUUUUGUCUUGUACCAUACUCGAGUUGGUCACUGACACAUAUGCUUUGUAGCUUGUUGUAGGUCUGUCCGUCUUUAUUGAUGGUUGGUGACGCUUUCUGAUUCCGUGGAACUUAGAUUGACUCAAUGUGAUCGUUGAGUCCUACUUUUCAUAAAGCCCAUGACUGCUUGACCUUUCCACAUUCCUCCACUUGAGUCGAGAACCCUUCUCGACCCUGUCUGGGCUCCAGGUAACUCCUACUACUCUUAUCACGGUGCUCCUUAUUACUGUUUGACUCAUCUUACAAAUACUCACAUACGUAAAUGCUUGUGUUAUGCGAGGAUGGAGCCAAUUGCAAUAGGAUCACCUGGAGCCUUCUCCACCUUAUCAGUGGACGUUCAAAAGCUCACAGCAAAGCUGUAACUUCUGACCAGGGUCUAUUGCAGGUGCAGACUCAACAAUUCCAGAAAGUCCCUUUCAUGUGUCUCUUGACGCUGACUCAGGAUCGUCCUUAAUGUCUGAGACAUCCUUCAGUAGCUUCCCAUCAGUGAGGAUAGCUUUCAAUCCGAGCACUCCAAAGUGAGCCAACAUGCUCACCUUCCAUAGUGCAAAGUCACCAGUACCCUCAAAAUGAUCCACCUCUAUGCGUGUGUUAGACAUCGCUUGUAUCAGGUACUCCUUAUCUCUCUCACCUAAACAACCUUAACAACCUGGAAGCUCUAAUACCACUUGUUAAGAAUAUUACUUAGGUUUGCUUAGGUUUCAAGUUAUCUUUGACCUAGAACUAAACUGAAAGUAAAGACACAAUCAAUUUAACGAGUUCCCGGUCUCUAGCACGGUACGUCUCGUGGGAGAACUCCUGCUUCCAAAUUCCACUAGAUCAAAGAAUCUCUAGUAACACCAAAUCAGUGAGCUAGAUAGUUUGGUUACAAUGAGAUCAACUCAAGUUAGCUAGGGAAUACAACAACCAUCUAGAUGAGACAAUAGUCUUAAGCCUAAGUUAUUUCUCUCUGUUGAAGUCUCCUUUCCCUUGCUACUAUGACUUGCUGAUUGAUCUCUAUCGCCGUAAUCUGCUGUCGUUGCUUGUACUUGUGUUAACCUAAUCCCCGUACUAACACUGAUAUAUAUAUAUAUAUAUAUGCUUUAUACAUGAUCAGGUGGUGCAAGCUGGAGUGGGACUGUAGAGACUCGGCCCAAGAGAUAUGAUGUUGCUUCUGGCCCGUAAGUCUCUUCUGUGAAGCCCAAACUCUACACAUACAAAUCAAAACUUAACAAUGAUCACUUUUCAUGUAUCUUAGCUUGUUGUUCAUCAGAAUAAUUUGCUUCUUUUGCAGCCACAGUGAAUCUUAACAAACAUUGGUAGAGCUUUUACUAUAUCAUUGUCUAAUGAAAGUAAUUCAAAACAACAAACUUGCUCUUAUUGAAACCAAAAUCACAAGAAUCCAUCAAAAUGGAUUAAUCCUAUAACUGUUUCAUCAAAUUGAGAAUUGAAAAAGUAACAAUGAUAUGAGAUACCUUCAAUAAGCAAAAUCAAAUUUAUAACUGAGACAGGAGCAGGGAUUGGAGCUGAGGGAGACAAACAUAGAUGAUGACGGCGGAGAUAAUGGUGGCGGAGAUGAGCGGCGCUGGAGAUAAUGGCGGUGGAGAUGAGUCAUGCCGGAGAUGAUGAUGUCGGAGAUGAGAGACGAUGUCGUGAUUAUGGGUUAAAAUUUCAAUUAUUAUUAUUAUUUUUUUCGAUUAAGCCCGCAUGUGCGGGCAAAACAUCUAGUCUUUAUUAAUAUCAAAAGAAGUUUAACAUAAUACAAGAAUUAAAACAUACAACAAAUACAUUUUUAAGUUGAACAUGAUAAUAGAAAAGUAAUAACACGAUGUUUCCUAACUCUUUUGCAGGAUAGACUGAUUCGCUAACUUUAUCUAUUUUUUUCUCGGUCUUAAAUGAUCUUGUGUUUGGCUGUCAUCUAUUGUGAUCCAUCGCCUUUUGUUACUUAAUAGAUCAGUGGGUGCGAUCCAUCUGUUACAUCGCUGCCCAUUCCAUACACUCCCGCACCUGGAGAUAACAUGAUUUGUUGUAGUCGCUAUACAUACCAUACAUAAUUCCUCUAAUUGACAUUGAUAAUCAUCAAGCUCCAUCGCCUUCCAUUCCAUGCCUUCACACAAACAAUCCACUUUCCUUCUUACUGUCAAAUAAUGCUGAAUCUUAUCUCUCUGGAGCAGGGGAGUCACGAGCAUCCAUAUUAAAUUAAUUGAAGCGCAUGAAGUCUCCAGUCUUUUCCAUGUCCAUGGCGGUUUGAGAUUCCUUUUUUUGUUCCAUAGAACUCUCAAUUCUUUCAAGAAAAAAUCGCCAUGACGUACCAGCCAUGGAAACACAACGACAAAACAGAACUUCCAAGUUUUGUUUGUCUGAAGAUUACACUCAACAAUUAGGGAGAAGAUGGACUCGUCAGAAGUCUUACCCAAACGCCGUAACCGUUCACUGAGCCAAUUGGCAAACAGAAACUUGUAUGCCCACAGCGAACCCAGACCGCAGCGAUGCCCAGAAUAGAAGAGACGGUGUAACGAUAACAUACGUCGCUUGAUACAAUAAGUUGACGAAAAUGAUUUCAUCGAAAUAAUGCUUUAUUAACACACUAUGACACAAACUAGAAAACAAUGAAAAAACAAAAGUACGUACCGACGCCGGAGCCGGCGCCGGCCGGAGGUUAUUUACGAAAAGGUGUUGCUUUUGUUUUUCGCUUUAGAAAUCGCACUGUUUGAGAGAGAACCAAUUUCAAUUAUUUUUUUAUUUAAUAUAAUUAGAGAAGGAAAAGGACAUAAGGGUAAAUGAUCCUAUUAAAUGAAACCUAAUUUGGUGAUUUUGAGCCUUGAAUUACAAAUAUAACAAAAGCUGACAAACGCAUAAAAUACUAUCCUAUUUAAAUAUAUAAAUAUUCAAAGAAAAGUUUGUUAUUCACAUUAAAAAAUUAUACUAUUACUCAAACAAUAUUUGAAAAAAUUAUGCUAAUAAAUAGUACUAUAAACUAUAGCAAAUCAUUGGACAAUGAGUGAUAAUGAAUCUUCAUUAAAUUGAUUGACUUUUAUGCGAUUGUGAUUCUCUAUAUAUUUAUGGUUUGUUAGUUUGCUCUAUAUUCUUUUAGUCAUUUUUAUUUGACUUAAGAUUUAGAUUUUUUUUUUUUUUGGAAUUUUAACAUGGCUUAGUAUUUUUAUGACAUCUAAUUUUUUUCUUUGACCCAUAAUGAUUCCGUUGUGUCUCUGAUUUAAAUUACCCUGAACAAAUAUGUUGUUCGUUAAAACCAAAACACAAAUUAUUUUACUUGGUUGUCAUUGCGCUGGUUAUUGCAAAUGUUGUAAUACAAUUUUGUGAAUAUAAUUAUUGUAAUUGACUAUUAAAUGUUUAUUUACACCAGAAAAACUUGUUACAAAUAAAAUAUAUAUUUCAAGAUAACAUUUAAAAUGACAACAUACAUAUAAUUUAUGUCAGAUCAAACACCCAAAUAUACAAUAUAUAUAUAGUGAAUAUGUAAUAAACAAUAAGAUGAUGGAAGAAUGUAAAUUUGAAACUAAUUAUUAAAAACAUUUAUUAAACUUUCUGCACAUGUAAUUCCUAAAUGUCUCGACAACACCAUUAGGUUUAGAAAUAAUAUAUUCUUCAUGACUUGUUAGUUGUUUAUUGCAAAACGUUUUGCAAUCUACUUCACAAGUUGCCGGAUCUGGUUUUCCGGAUACUUUCAUGCACUGAUUCAAGAUGCAAUGUUUGACACAUUUCUCAACAUUGUUUGAAAGAGAAAUUUGUGCCGAAAUCAUCAUUAUAUAAAUAGCUACUAUCAUGAAAAUAGUGCUUGAAGUUUUCAAAAUUUGAGUUUUCAUAAUGUAUAUACGAUUACAACAAAUGUAAAUGUGUAUGAGUUUAGUCUUUUUUAGAUCGUGAACAAGAUGAUUCUGAUAUUGUGUUAGUCUAGGUGAAUUAUAUAGUAUAGUAAAUCAUGGGUAUUUUUAGAAGUUUGUUUUAGUUAGUUUGUUGUUUCUUUUAUUAAUAUAUAUACAUCGAUUGAGUUGUGUGGAACUUACCUAUAUUUGUUUUGUUAGCUAUCUAACCAAUUUUUGUUAUAACAAUAAAAUAUAUCCUUUUUAUCCGCAACAAUAAGAUAUAUUUUUGGUAAUUAUUAUAGUCUUAUAUUUAAAAAUAUAAAUGAUAUCAUAGUAUUACAUCAAAACUUUGUGAUCUAAACACACAAAAAUAUGGUUUUAUUUUGAAAUUUUAAAAUUUUAAAAUUAUUCUUUACUUUUACAAAAUUAUGAAUUUAAGUUUAAAUUUGAAAUAUCUUUUUAAAAUUUCUUAUAAUUUAUUCAAAUAGCAAUAACGGAAUAUCAAACUAAUAACAUGUCAUAUAUUUUGUUUAACACUAGAAAAAUCAGGAAGAACCUACAAAUUUUGAAUUGUUUUGGAAGGUUUAGUAGACAAUCAGGAACGCCAUAAUGAAUAGUCUGAUAAAAUAGAAUUUCAUACAAAAACCACAUCUAGAAGCUUCGAAUGGUUAUAAAACAAAGUUGGCUUACUACAUUGGUACAUAUCAUACCACUCCAUGUUUGUGUGAUUUAGUAUCAACAUUUAACUACAAAAACAGAUUUAUUAGGAACAAAAUGCAAAAUUUGAGUUUUUUUGGAAGGAUUGAUAUAUAUUUAUGAAAGUUGUCAUGAACAAUUUAAAAAAGAAAAAAACAUACAAAAACCCACACAAAAGGGGUGUGAAAUGAUGUAUUUGUUGUUCUCUUUGCACAAUAUGACCAACUGCUAUGUUGGUUUUUGAAAUUCCUAUAUGAACAUGAUAUAAAUAUUGAAUAAAAUUCAAGAGAACUGAAAAAUCACUUAUAUCACAAACUGGCUUGUUACAUCUAGAUGAAUAAGAAAGAACCUGCAAAUUUUGAAUUGUUUUGAAAGGUUUAAUACAUAAUUAUGAAGGCUAUCAUGAAUAGUUUAAGAAGUAGUUUUGAGUCUCUCAGAAGUUUCAGGCAUACUAUAAAAUAAGUUUUGACUCUCAAGAUCAUAUAUGUCACUGCUUACAUGUUGAAACUAUUUCAAUCAAAGAGCAUAACAAUAAGAUACUAUUUCAUACAAAAAAACGUCAAAGAGGCUGUGAGCAAAAGCGUGUUUCGCCUCAUGGUACAUAUGUGAUGAGUGAAAAAGAACCUAAUACCUAAGAAAAUGCAAAAAGACAUUCAGAUUAAAUUGAAUAUCAUGAUAAGCUAAUAACAUCAUUACAUAUCAAACGAAAAGCUUCAAACAAUCAGAUAAUAAGGUUUGCAUGUCACUGUAUUAGAGAUUAAGGUUUUGUUAACUGAGCUACAAUACAAACAAAUCGUCGCAAGCUAAAGCUUAACAGCCCGAUUCUCCGUGGAAGCAAGGAGACAACUCGAAACUUUAGUAAUUAUGGAACAAGUGGCCAAGCAAAUAUGGUUAGACCAGUUGAUUCAUCUACAACCAGGAACAUACAAAUGAAAACUUAACAAUGAUCACUUUUCAUGUAUCUUAGCUUGUUGUUCAUCAGAAUAAUUAGCUUCUUUUGUAGCCACAGUGAAUCUUAGCAAACAUUGCUAGAGCUUUACUAUAUCAUUGUCUAAUGAAAGUAAUUCAAAAGCACAUACUCACUCUUAUUGAAACCAAAAUCACAAGAAUCCAUCAAAAUGGAUCAAUCCUAUAACUGUUUCAUCAAAUUGAGAAUUGAAAAAGUAACAUUGAUACGAGAUACCUUUAAUACAACGAAAUCAAAUUUAUUACUGAGACAGCGGAGCUGCGAUUUGAGCUGAGGGAGACAAACGAAGAUGAUGACGGCGUAGAUGAUGACGGCGGAGAUAAUGGCGGCGGAGAUGAGUAGUGCUGGAGAUAAUGGCGGUGGAGAUGAGUCAUGCCGGAGAUGAUGAUGUCGGAGAUGAGAGACGAUGUCGUGAUUAUGGGUUAAAAUUUCAAUUAUUUUUUUAUUUAAUAUAAUUAGAGAAGGAAAGGGACAUAAGGGUAAAUGAUCCUAUUAAAUGAAACCUAAUUUGGUGAUUUUGAACCCUGAAUUACGAAUAUAACAAAAGCUGACAAACGCAUAAAAUACUAUCCUAUUUAAAUAUAUAAAUAUUCAAAGAAAAUUUUGUUAUUCACAUUAAAAAAUUAUACUAUUACUCAAAACAAUAUUUGAAAAAAUUAUGCUAAUAAAUAGUACUAUAAACUAUAGCAAAUCAUUGGAGAAUGAGUGAUAAUGAACCUUCAUUAAAUUGAUUGAAUUUUAUGCGAUUGUGAUUCUCUCUAUAUUUAUGGUUUGUUAGUUUGCUCUAUAUUCUUUUAGUCAUUUUUAUUUGACUUAAGAUUUAGAUUUUUUUUUUUGGAAUUUUAACAUGGCUUAGUAUUUUUAUGACAUAUGAUUUUUUUCUUUGACCCAUAAUGAUUCUGUUGUGUCUAUGAUUCAAAUUACCCUGAACAAAUAUGUUGUUCGUUAAAACCAAAACACGAAUUAUUUUACUUGGUUGUUAUUGCACUGGUUAUUGAAAAUGUUGUAAUACAAUUUUGUGAAUAUAAUUAUUGUAAUUGACUAUUAAAUGUUUAUUUACACCAGAAAAACUUGUUAACAAAUAAAAUAUAUAUUUCAAGAUAACAUUUAAAAUGACAACAUACAUAUAAUUUAUGUCAGAUCAAACACCCAAAUAUACAAUAUAUAUAUAGUGAAUAUGUAAUAAACAAUAAGAUGAUGGAAGACUGUAAAUUUAAAACUAAUUAUUAAAAACAUUUAUUAAACUUUCUGCACAUGUAAUUCCUAAAUGUCUCGACAACACCAUUAGGUUUAGAAACAAUAUAUUCUUCAUGACUUGUUAGUUGUUUAUUGCAAAACGUUUUGCAAUCUACUUCACAAGUUGCCGGAUCUGGUUUUCCGGAUACUUUCAUACACUGAUUCAAGAUGCAAUGUUUGACACAUUUCUCAACAUUGGUUGAAAGAGAAAUUUGUGCCGAAAUCAUCAUUAUAUAAAUAGCUACUAUCAUGAAAAUAGUGCUUGAAUUUUUCAAAAUUUGAGUUUUCAUAAUGUAUAUACGAUUACAACAAAUGUAAAUGUGUAUGAGUUUAGUAUUUUUUUAGAUCGUGAACAAGAAGAUUCUGAUAUUGUGUUAGUCUAGGUGAAUUAUAUAGUAAAGUAAAUCAUGGGUAUUUUUAGAAGUUUGUUUUAGUUAGUUUGUUGUUUCUUUUAUUAAUAUAUAUACAUCGAUUAAGUUGUGUGGAACUUACCUGUAUUUGUUUGUUAGCUAUCUAACCAAUUUUUGUUAUAACAAUAAAAUAUAUCCUUUUUAUCCGCAACAAUAAGAUAUAUUUUUGGUAAUUAUUAUAGUCUUAUAUUUAAAAAUAUAAAUGAUAUCAUAGUAUUACAUCAAAACUUUGUGAUCUAAACGCGCAAAAAAUAUGUUUUUAUUUUGAAAUUUUGAAGUAUAAAAUUAUUCUUUACUUUUACAAAAUUAUGAAUUUAAGUUUAAGUUUGAAAUAUGUUUUUAAAGUUUCUUAUAAUUUAUUCAAAUAGCAAUAACGGAAUAUCAAACUAAUAACAUGUCAUAUAUUUUGUUUAACACUAGAAAAAUCAGGAAGAACCUACAAAUUUUGAAUUGUUUUGGAAGGUUUAGUAGACAAGCAGGAACGCUAUCAUGAAUAGUCUGAUAAAAUAGAAUUUCAUACAAAAAUCACAUCUAGAAGCUUCGAAUGGUUAUAAAACAAAGUUGGCUUACUAAAUUGGUACAUAUCAUACUACUCCAUGUUUGUGUGAUUUAGUAUCAUCAUUUAACUACAAAAACAGAUUUAUUAGGAACAACAUGCAAAAUUCGAGUUUUUUUUGGAAGGAUUGAUAUAUAUUUAGGAAAGUUAUCAUGAACAAUUUAAGAAAGAAAAAACAUACAAAAACCCACACAAAAGAGGUGUGAAAUGAUGUAUUUGUUGUUCUCUUUGCACAAUAUGACCAACUGCUAUGUUGGUUUUUGAAAUCCCUAUAUGAACAUGAUAUAAAUAUGAAUAAAAUUCAAGAGAACUGAAAAAUCACUUACAUCACAAACUGGCUUGUUACAUUUAGAUGAAUAAGAAAGAACCUGCAAAUUUUGAAUUGUUUUGAAAGUAUUAAUACAUAUUUAUGAAGGCUAUCAUGAAUAGUUUAAGAAGUAGUUUUGAGUCUCUCAGAAGUUCCAGGCAUACUAUAAAAUAAGUUUUGACUCUCAAGAUCAUAUAUGUCACUGCUUACAUGUUGAAACUAUUUCAAUCAAUGAGCACAACAAUAAGGUACUAUUUCUUACAACAAAACGUCAAAGAGGCUGUGAGCAAAAGCGUGUUUCGCCUCAUGGUACAUAUGUGAUGAGUGAAAAAGAACCUAAUACCUAAGAAAAUGCAAAAAGACAUUCAGAUUAAAUUGAAUAUCAUGAAAAGGUAAUAACAUCAUUACAUAUCAAACGAAAAGCUUCAAACAGUCAGAUAAUAAGGUUUGCAUGUCACUGUAUUAGAGAUUAAGGUUUUGUUAACUGAGCUACAAUACAAACAAAUCGUCACAAGCUAACGCUUAACAGCCCGAUUCUCCGUGGAAGCAAGGAGACAACUCGAAACUUCAGUAAUUAUGGAACAAGUGGCCAAGCAAAUAUGGUUAGACCAGUUGAUUCAUCUACAACCAGGAACAUACAAAUGAAAACUUAACAAUGAUCACUUUUCAUGUAUCUUAGCUUGUUGUUCAUCAGAAUAAUUAGUUUCUUUUGCAGCCACAGUGAAUCUUAGCAAACAUUGCUAGAGCUUUACUAUAUCAUUGUCUAAUGAAAGUAAUUCAAAAGCACAUACUCACUCUUAUUGAAACCAAAAUCACAAGAAUCCAUUAAAGUGGAUCAAUCCUAUAACUGUUUCAUCAAACUGAGAAUUGAAAAAGUAACAUUGAUACGAGAUACUUUUAAUACGGCGAAAUCAAAUUUAUUACUGAGACAGCGGAGCAGCGAUUGGAGCUGAGGGAGACAAACGUAGAUGAUGACGGCGUAGAUGAUGACGGCGGAGAUAAUGGCGGCGGAGAUGAGUAGUGCUGGAGAUAAUGGCGGUGGAGAUGAGUCAUGCCGGAGAUGAUGAUGUCGGAGAUGAGAGACGAUGUCGUGAUUAUGGGUUAAAAUUUCAAUUAUUUUUUUAUUUAAUAUAAUUAGAGAAGGAAAGGGACAUAAGGGUAAAUGAUCCUAUUAAAUGAAACCUAAUUUGGUGAUUUUGAGCCUUGAAUUACAAAUAUAACAAAAGCUGACAAACGCAUAAAAUACUAUCCUAUUUAAAUAUAUAAAUAUUCAAAGAAAAUUUUGUUAUUCACAUUAAAAAAUUAUACUAUUACUCAAAACAAUAUUUGAAAAAAUUAUGCUAAUAAAUAGUGCUAUAAACUAUAGCAAAUCAUUGGAGAAUGAGUGAUAAUGAAUUUUCAUUAAAUUGAUUGAAUUUUAUGCGAUUGUGAUUCUCUAUAUGUUUAUGGUUUGUUAGUUUGCUCUAUAUUCUCUUAGUCAUUUUUAUUUGACUUAAGAUUUAGAUUUUUUUUUUUUGGAAUUUUAACAUGCUUAGUAUUUUUAUGACAUCUGAUUUUUUUCUUUGACCCAUAAUGAUUCUGUUGUGUCUCUGAUUCAAAUUACCCUGAACAAAUAUGUUGUUUGUUAAAACCAAAACACGAAUUAUUUUACUUGGUUGUUAUUGCGCUGGUUAUUGAAAAUGUUGUAAUACAAUUUUGUGGAUAUAAUUAUUGUAAUUGACUAUUAAAUGUUUAUUUACACCAGAAAAACUUGUUACAAAUAAAAUAUAUAUUUCAUGAUAACAUUUAAAAUGACAACAUACAUAUAAUUUAUGUCAGAUCAAACACCCAAAUAUACAAUAUAUAUAUAGUUAAUAUGUAAUAAACAAUAAGAUGAUCGAUGACUCUAAAUUCGAAACUAAUUAUUAAAAACAUUUAUUAAACUUUCUGCACAUGUAAUUCCUAAAUGUCUCGACAACACCAUUAGGUUUAGAAACAAUAUAUUCUUCAUGACUUAUUAGUUGUUUACUGCAAAACGUUUUGCAAUCUACUUCACAAGUUGCCGGAUCUGGUUUUCCGGAUACUUUCAUGCAAUGAUUCAAGAUGCAAUGUUUGACACAUUUUUCAACAUUGGUUGAAAGAGAAAUCUGUGCCGAAAUCAUCAUUAUAUAAAUAGCUACUAUCAUGAAAAUAGUGCUUGAAUUUUUCAAAAUUUGAGUUUUCAUAAUGUAUAUACGAUUACAACAAAUGUAAAUGUGUAUUAGUUUAGUCUUUUUAGAUCGUGAACAAGAUGAUUCUGAUAUUGUGUUAGUCUAGGUGAAUUAUAUAGUAAAGUAAAUCAUGGGUAUUUUUAGAAGUUUGUUUUAGUUAGUUUGCUGUUUCUUUUAUUAAUAUAUAUAUAUAUACAUCGAUUAAGUUGUGUGGAACUUACUUGUAUUUUUUUGUUAGCUAUCUAACCAAUUUUUGUUAUAACAAUAAAAUAUGUCAUUUUUAUCCGCAACAAUAAGAUAUAUUUUUGUUAAUUAUUAUAGUCUUAUAUUUAAAAAUAUAAAUGAUAUCAUAGUAUUACAUCAAAACUUUGUGAUCUAAACACGCAAAAAAUAUGGUUUUAUUCUGAAAUUUUAAAAUUAUUCUUUACUUUUACAAAAUUAUGAAUUUAAGUUUAAAUUUGAAAUAUGUUUUUAAAGUUUCUUAUAAUUUAUUCAAAUAGCAAUAACGGAAUAUCAAACUAAUAACAUGUCAUAUAUUUUGUUUAACACUAGAAAAAUCAGGAAGAACCUACAAAUUUUGAAUUGUUUUGGAAGGUUUAGUAGACAAUCAGGAACGCUAUCAUGAAUAGUCUGAUAAAAUAGAAUUUCAUACAAAACCACAUCUAGAAGCUUCGAAUGGUUAUAAAACAAAGUUGGCUUACUACAUUGGUACAUAUCAUACUACUCCAUGUUUGUGUGAUUUAGUAUCAUCAUUUAACUACAAAAACAGAUUUAUUAGGAACAACAUGCAAAAUUUGAGUUUUUUUGGAAGGAUUGAUAUAUAUUUAGGAAAGUUAUCAUGAACAAUUUAAGAAAGAAAAAAACAUACAAAAACCCACACAAAAGAGGUGUGAAAUGAUGUAUUUGUUGUUCUCUUUGCACAAUAUGACCAACUGCUAUGUUGGUUUUUGAAAUCCCUAUAUGAACAUGAUAUAAAUAUUGAAUAAAAUUCAAGAGAACUGAAAAAUCACUUAUACCACAAACUGUUUCAUUAAAUUGACAAUUGAAAAAGUAACAUUGAUACGAGAUACCUUUAAUACGGCAAAAUCAAAUUUAUUACUGAGACAGCGGAGCAGCGAUUGGAGCUGAGGGAGACAAACGUAGAUGAUGACAGCGUAGAUGAUGACGGCAGAGAUAAUGGCGGCGGAGAUGAGUAGUGCUGGAGAUAAUGGCGGUGGAGAUGAGUCAUGCCGGAGAUGAUGAUGUCGGAGAUGAGAGACGAUGUCGUGAUUAUGGGUUAAAAUUUCAAUUAAUUUUUAUUUAAUAUAAUUAGAGAAGGAAAGGGAUAUAAGGGUAAAUGAUCCUAUUAAAUGAAACCUAGUUUGCUGAUACUAAACAUAGAGAAUUAUAAAAGAUAAAUAUUAUAAUGUUUGCUUUAUAAGAUACUAAACAUAGAGAAUUAUAAAAGAUAAAUUUUAAAUUUUAAGAAAAAUGUUAAACAAAAACGAAUUGUAAAAUCCUAUAAGUACAAUAAAUUAUUUAAUAAAAAACGUGAAGAAAAACUAACUUUUAAAUAAAUAAUAAUACUUUUUAAAAAAAAACCUUAUUAAAUGAAAAUCGUAGAAGUACUCUUAUUUUUUCCUUAAAAGUAAGUAACUUUCAUUUUUAAUAGAUAAUUCUAUGUUAAAAAAAUUAUGACCAAAAAUUACUACAAUAUUUAAUAUCUAUAUUUAGAUAAUUGUAAAAGAUUAUAUAAAACUUAGUUUUUCAAAGUUGGUAAAACAUGACAGUAACACAUGACAAUUAUAUAUUUAAGAUUGUGACAUGUGUUAAACUAUCCCAUAAUUAAAAAUAUAUAUACUAACAUAAUAAAUAAAUUUAGUUAAAAAUAGUAACUAUAAAUAUUAUUUUAUUUUAAUUUACAAUUUUUAAAUCCUAAACAAAAUAGAAUUUCAAUAUUGUGACAUGUGUUAAAAUUAAAAUAUCUAUGAUUAAAAAUAUAUAUACUAAGAUAAUAAAAACGAAUUUUGGAAAAGAGAUUUUAAAAAUUAUUUGAAAAUAUAACAAAAAAAAGCAUGGUAUGCAAGAGGAUUGUUCAAUGGUGAUUCAGAAUGGAAAGACGCUAUGGAUGAAGCAUCACAAUUUGAAUAUCCUUUCCAGUUUUGCCAUCUUUUUGAAACAUUGUUACUUUAAUGUGAAUUAUGUAGUCCUUUUAUUCUAUGGGAGCAUUGCUGGCAUUACUUACCUGAAGACAUAUCCAAUAAAGAGAUAUAUUUUCAACUUCAUGGACCAAAAGUUCAGUGAUGAAGAGCUACAAAGUUACACACUUUUAGAAAUAGAGAGGAUUCUAACAUAGAAUGAUAAAUCACUGACUGAUUUUGAAGACAUGCCAAAGGCAUAAGAAAGUGUAUGAAGCUGUUAGUAACUCAAUUACUAUAUGAAAGGAAAAACAAUUUCCUGAAUGGACGAGGAGGAACAGGAAAAAUAUAUAUGUAUAAGACAAUCAUUUAAAGGUUAAGAUCAGAAGGAAAAAUUGUGCUACCAUUGGCAUCAUCUGGAAUUACAGCUAUACUUUUACUUAAUGAUAGAACAUCACAUUCGUGUUUCAAGAUUCCGAUAGAACUUCAUCAAGAAAGUAUGUGCAAUAUUAGUCGUUGUACCAUGAUUUUUGCAUUUGAAGCUCUUGAUAAGACUCUGCGAGAUGUACUCUUUGUGGCAGAUCCAGAUGCAGCAACAAAACUCUUUGGAGGAAAAACAAUACUUCUUGGUGGUGAUUUUUGACACAUUCUUCCAGACAUACCACAAGGCAGGAGGUAACAAACUAUUAUGGCAACAAUCAACCGUUCAUAUUUUGGAUUACUGCUCUAUAUUCACUCUUGAGAAAAAUAUGAGGUUGCAUUAAGCUCGCAAAGAGUUUUCUAAAUGGUUAUUAGGUAUCAGUGACGGCAUAACACCUACACCAGCAAAAUACAAAACCUCGAAUGAAUAAAUCAGCAUAAUUGAGAUAGACAACAAACUGCUCUUGCAAACCAAUGCAGAUCCUGUUGUAUGCAUUACAAAGUCUACAUAUCAUAUCAAGAUUUCCAAAUUCAUUUUAAAGACAAGAAUAUCUCAUCCAAAGAGCACUAUUUACUCCAAAGAAUGAAACGGUGGAUGAAAUGAAUAACUAUAUGUUAACUUGCUUAGACGGUGAGUGAAAUAAAUGUUUGAGUUUUGAUACUAUCAGUGACCACAAGGAAGAAGUGGCAAAUCAGCAUAUCCUAUAUCCCACAGAUUUUUUAAAUACGUUGAAAUUUUCAGGGAUUCCCAAAUCACAAAUUUGAUAUCAAAAUAGGUGUUUCAGUCAUGCUACUAAGAAAUUUAAAUCAACGAGAGGUCUUUGCAAUGGAACAAGGUUACUAAUAACUCGCCUAGCCAAUAUAUGCCAGAUGGCCUUUCAAACUAAAAAAAACGUCAAUUCCCUAAAUGAGUUUGUUAUGCAAUGACUAUAAACAAGAAUCAAGCUAAAAUCUUAAACAAAGUUGGUCUAUAUAUUCUAAGUCCGGUAUUCUCUCAUGGAGAAUUGUAUGUCGCACUAUCAAAAGUCAAUACAACGGCAAGGCUUAAGACUCUUAAAGUAGGCACAAAACAUAACGACAAUAGUAUUCUACAAAAUAUUGUAUAACAAGAAGUAAUAUAUGAUAUAUAGAAAAAGCGGUUAAAGUCACACCGUUGAUACUAAAGUAAACUAAUUUCAUAUUCAUCUAGAAAUAUAUUUGAUAUUUAGCUAACUAUCAAUAAUACAUAUUGAUUGGUGUCGGGUAACAUUAAUAUUUUGAAUUCUGUUGUUUUAAUUUUUCUUAAGCAACGUAAACAAUAUCGAGAGUUUACAAAUAUAUGUUUCAAUUAACUACCACUAAUAUUAUUUUGAAAAAUAAUUCAAAGUGAAGUAUUUAUAAAAAAAAUAUAAAAAUGCUAUUUUAAAAACCAUGAUUACUGAAAUAGAAAUACUAAUCAAAAUUUAUGUAA